Molecule: transfer RNA, 72 nt
Filed under: Bacillus sp. FJAT-27986
Lineage: Bacteria; Bacillati; Bacillota; Bacilli; Caryophanales; Bacillaceae
Also listed under: 1 other name
Rfam family: tRNA
About the family: Transfer RNA (tRNA) molecules are approximately 80 nucleotides in length.
Source: Rfam by way of RNAcentral
GCGGAAGUAGUUCAGUGGUAGAACAUCACCUUGCCAAGGUGAGGGUCGCGGGUUCGAGCCCCGUCUUCCGCU